AACGAACGCUGGCGGCAUGCCUAACACAUGCAAGUCGAACGAGACCUUCGGGUCUAGAGGCGCACGGGUGCGUAACGCGUGGGAAUCUGCCCUUGGGUUCGGAAUAACAGUUAGAAAUGACUGCUAAUACCGGAUAAUGUCUUCGGACCAAAGAUUUAUCGCCCAGGGAUGAGCCCCGCGUAGGAUUAGCUAGUUGGUGAGGUAAAGGCUCACCAAGGCGACGAUCCUUAGCUGGUCUGAGAGGAUGAUCAGCCACACUGGGACUGAGACACGGCCCAGACUCCUACGGGAGGCAGCAGUGGGGAAUAUUGGACAAUGGGCGAAAGCCUGAUCCAGCAAUGCCGCGUGAGUGAUGAAGGCCUUAGGGUUGUAAAGCUCUUUUACCCGGGAUGAUAAUGACAGUACCGGGAGAAUAAGCCCCCGGCUAACUCCGUGCCAGCAGCCGCGGU
RNAcentral lists this ribosomal RNA (449 nucleotides) under uncultured bacterium. RNAcentral's name for it is "bacterial SSU rRNA". It matches the Rfam family "Bacterial small subunit ribosomal RNA", at positions 29 to 521 of the family's 1533-position model. The record is from RNAcentral.